AAAUUGAAGAGUUUGAUCAUGGCUCAGAUUGAACGCUGGCGGCAGGCCUAACACAUGCAAGUCGAGCGGAAACGAGUUAUCUGAACCUUCGGGGAACGAUAACGGCGUCGAGCGGCGGACGGGUGAGUAAUGCCUAGGAAAUUGCCCUGAUGUGGGGGAUAACCAUUGGAAACGAUGGCUAAUACCGCAUAAUACCU
Molecule: ribosomal RNA, 197 nt
Filed under: Vibrio harveyi
Lineage: Bacteria; Pseudomonadati; Pseudomonadota; Gammaproteobacteria; Vibrionales; Vibrionaceae
Description: partial 16S ribosomal RNA
Rfam family: Bacterial small subunit ribosomal RNA
Source: RNAcentral